GAUGAACGCUAGCUACAGGCUUAACACAUGCAAGUCGAGGGGCAGCAUGAACAAAGCUUGCUUUGUUUGAUGGCGACCGGCGCACGGGUGCGUAACACGUAUCCAAUCUGCCCGCGGCUCGGGGAUAGCCCAUCGAAAGAUGGAUUAAUACCCGAUGGCGUGGUCACUCCGCAUGGAGUUUCCACUAAAGGUUUUCCGGCCGCGGAUGAGGAUGCGUAUGAUUAGGUAGUAGGCGGGGUAACGGCCCACCUAGCCUUCGAUCAUUAGGGGUUCUGAGAGGAAGGUCCCCCANACUGGAACUGAGACACGGUCCAGACUCCUACGGGAGCAGCAGUGAGGAAUAUUGGUCAAUGGGC
Molecule: ribosomal RNA, 356 nt
Filed under: uncultured bacterium
Lineage: Bacteria
Description: bacterial SSU rRNA
Rfam family: Bacterial small subunit ribosomal RNA
Source: RNAcentral